Molecule: ribosomal RNA, 484 nt
Filed under: uncultured bacterium
Lineage: Bacteria
Description: partial 16S ribosomal RNA
Rfam family: Bacterial small subunit ribosomal RNA
Source: RNAcentral
AUUGAACGCUGGCGGCAGGCCUAACACAUGCAAGUCGAGCGGAUGAAGGGAGCUUGCUCCUGGAUUCAGCGGCGGACGGGUGAGUAAUGCCUAGGAAUCUGCCUGGCAGUGGGGGAUAACGUCCGGAAACGGGCGCUAAUACCGCAUACGUCCUGAGGUAGAACGUGGGGGAUCUUCGGACCUCACGCUAUCAGAUGAGCCUAGGUCGUAUUAGCUAGUUGGUGGGGUAAAGGCCUACCAAGGCGACGAUCCGUAACUGGUCUGAGAGGAUGAUCAGUCGCACUGGAACUGAGACACGGUCCAGACUCCUACGGGAGGCAGCAGUGGGGAAUAUUGGACAAUGGGCGAAAGCCUGAUCCAGCCAUGCCGCGUGUGUGAAGAAGGUCUUCGGAUUGUAAAGCACUUUAAGUUGGGAGGAAGGGCAGUAAGUUAAUACCUUGCUGUUUUGACGUUACCAACAGAAUAAGCACCGGCUAACUUCGUG